AUCCUGGCUCAGAUUGAACGCUGGCGGCAUGCCUUACACAUGCAAGUCGAACGGCAGCACGGGUGCUUGCACCUGGUGGCGAGUGGCGAACGGGUGAGUAAUACAUCGGAACGUACCUUAUCGUGGGGGAUAACGCAGCGAAAGCUGUGCUAAUACCGCAUACGCCCUGAGGGGGAAAGCGGGGGAUCGAAAGACCUCGCGCGAUUAGAGCGGCCGAUGCCUGAUUAGCUUGUUGGUGGGGUAAAAGCCCACCAAGGCGACGAUCAGUAGCUGGUCUGAGAGGACGAUCAGCCACACUGGGACUGAGACACGGCCCAGACUCCUACGGGAGGCAGCAGUGGGGAAUUUUGGACAAUGGGCGCAAGCCUGAUCCAGCAAUGCCGCGUGCAGGAAGAAGGCCUUCGGGUUGUAAACUGCUUUUGUACGGAACGAAACGGUCUGGGCUAAUACCCCGGGCUAAUGACGGUACCGUAAGAAUAAGCACCGGCUAACUACGUG
Molecule: ribosomal RNA, 498 nt
Filed under: uncultured bacterium
Lineage: Bacteria
Description: bacterial SSU rRNA
Rfam family: Bacterial small subunit ribosomal RNA
Source: RNAcentral